Molecule: unclassified non-coding RNA, 378 nt
Filed under: plant metagenome
Description: partial contains 5.8S ribosomal RNA, internal transcribed spacer 2, and large subunit ribosomal RNA
Rfam family: 5.8S ribosomal RNA (bases 1-105)
Source: RNAcentral
GAAAUGCGAUAAGUAAUGUGAAUUGCAGAAUUCAGUGAAUCAUCGAAUCUUUGAACGCACCUUGCGCUCCUUGGUAUUCCUUGGAGCAUGCCUGUUUGAGUAUCAUGAAAUCUUCAAAGUAAAUCUUUUGUUAACUCAAUUGGUUUCUACUUUGGUAUUGGAGGUCUUUGCAGCUUCACACCUGCUCCUCUUUGUUCAUUAGCUGGAUCUCAGUGUUAUGCUUGGUUCCACUGGGCGUGAUAAGUUAUCUAUCGCUGAGGACACUGUAAAAGGUGGCCAAGGUAAAUGCAGAUGAACCGCUUCUAAUAGUCCAUUGACUUGGACAAUACUUUUAUGAUCUGAUCUCAAAUCAGGUAGGACUACCCGCUGAACUUAAGC